This 1416-nucleotide long non-coding RNA is filed under the name Mus musculus (house mouse). RNAcentral describes it as "long non-coding RNA chr17:17449978-17451394". The record is from RNAcentral. Lineage: Eukaryota; Metazoa; Chordata; Mammalia; Rodentia; Muridae.
UUAUUUAUUUAUUUAUUUAUUUAUUUAUUUAUUUUAAGACAAGGUUUCAGUAGGUAGUCAGGCUUGCCUUGAACCCACAAGACCUGCCUCUGCCGCCGCCUCAGUACUGGAGGUGAACCGGUGUGUUACAAUGACUGGCACAAAAUACAGAUUUUUAAAAGAUGGAGAAGAUUCAUGAAUCACCCCACCCAGUUUAAAUCUUGCCUCACAUAUCUCACUCCAAUGAGCUAGCUGCUCGAGUUCCUUUCAGUCCAGCCAGGCUCCCAAACCUCCGUGAUUAGAUUAGCCUAUUUAACAAACUCUACAACAGAAGAACAGAGCAAGUCCUCACAGAGUAGGUGACUCCAAGUUCCUGUGCAGGUCAGGGCUUGAUCAGAUUCAAAGCCAGGGUAAAAAACCAGGCAGCAGGAAUCACAGUGAAACCAGAAAACAAUUCUUUAUAGAAGUCCUCUGAAACUGUGCGUGGCUUUCCCUUUAAGUCAGACAGAGCAUGGAAGCACUGGGCUCAGCACUAAUUUUCACUCAGGAAGUUGUGAAGACACCUGUAAUCCCAGCACUCAGGAGGAAGAGGCAGGUGGAUCUCUGAGUUUGAUAUCAGCCUUGUCCACAUAACUGAGCUUCAGGACAGCCAGAGCUACAAAGUCUUGGAAAAAAAAAAAGACAAACCCAGCAAACAAAACAAACCAACAACAACAAAAAAAAGAUUUUGGUCUCAUGAAAGGAAAUAAGGAAAUGGAACAGAAGUGUUUGUAAGUAAUUAGGUAUAUCUUAUACAAUGCUGGCAAGUGUUUGUACACAGCAGGGCAAAAGCUAGACCAGGAUAGAAAGAAUGUGGAGGAGAAGGCGGUCACCUUCCAUAAAGAAAUGUAAAAACCAGAGCCACACUCUGGAGGAAGUACUUUUUAGAUAAAUCAGAGCAGUAGGGAGGGACUGACCUUUCUCCUAGAGGCAAGAAGAGUUCCAGCCUUUUUAGGAAGACUUUGGGAGAAGUUUGCCAAAGGGGCAUGAGAAAGCUUUCUGGUUCUGUUCACAUUAUAUCCAUGGGUUGCAAAGUUCUAGGAGGUUCUCUAGAUGGAUGGACAACAGUCCAUCAACAAGAAGCAGACAGGCACUGGUGCAGAGAUGAGACUGUGGUCUCAGAAGAUCCUGAAGAAAAAAGAAUAUACAUCACCAACAAAAACCAUCAGAGAGGAAAUCAAGAGCCAUAUUAGCAGUAAGUUAUUUCUCAGAGUUAUCUCAGGGAAAUCCUACAAUGAGUACUAGAAACUGCAACACUAGUCCAGCCUCUCUUCUUCGUCUGCCAAAUUUACAUAGGGACUGUGAACAUAUGUCAAUUUACAUAGGGACUGUGAGCAUGUGUCAAUGGUAGGGGGCUUGCCAAGCAUGUACAAGGUUCUGUUUUUGAUCUCCAGAACU